AGAGCCAUAUAAAACUAAGGAGAAACCAUUUUAGGAUGAGGGAACAAACCCUGAAGGUGUGAACAAGCUCGGUGCAUCUAGACAUGUAAGGAAGGUUCCAGCAUGUGAAGGAGCGAGGACGGAGAAGGGUCCGGUGAGGUCUUACAGCAACAGAGGGUCCAGCCACAUGAGGCUGAGCAGCCAAGAAUGUGACUUUUUGGAGACACGGUCUUUAGAGAGGUGAUAACAUUGAAACGAGGUCAAGAGGUUGAGCCCUAAACCAGUCUGAUCGGCAUCCCUAUGAGGAGAGGAGAUGAGGACACAGACACACACAAAGGGAAGGCCAUGUGAGGGAGGACGCAGGGAGAAGACAGCCAUCCGCAAGCCAAGCAGAGAGGCUUAGGGAGAGACCAUUUGUGCUGACACCUUGAUCUCGAACUUCCAGCCUUCA
RNAcentral lists this long non-coding RNA (430 nucleotides) under Homo sapiens (human). RNAcentral describes it as "HSALNT0299018". The record is from RNAcentral. Lineage: Eukaryota; Metazoa; Chordata; Mammalia; Primates; Hominidae.